RNAcentral lists this non-coding RNA (114 nucleotides) under Bacillus sp. (in: firmicutes). RNAcentral's name for it is "Bacillus sp. SAM-I sequence". It matches the Rfam family "SAM riboswitch aptamer (S box leader)". From Rfam's summary of the family: The SAM riboswitch is found upstream of a number of genes which code for proteins involved in methionine or cysteine biosynthesis in Gram-positive bacteria. The SAM riboswitch acts at the level of transcription termination control. The predicted structure consists of a complex stem-loop region followed by a single stem loop terminator region. RNAcentral also lists the same sequence under 1 other name. The record is from RNAcentral. Lineage: Bacteria; Bacillati; Bacillota; Bacilli; Caryophanales; Bacillaceae.
CUCUUAUCGAGAGUGGCGGAGGGACAUGGCCCGAUGAAGCCCGGCAACCUUCAAGGUAAUCCUUGAAAAGGUGCUAAUUCCUGCAGGUUAUUUAUUUAACCUGAAAGAUAAGGG